RNAcentral lists this ribosomal RNA (522 nucleotides) under Blastocystis sp. RNAcentral's name for it is "SSU rRNA". It matches the Rfam family "Eukaryotic small subunit ribosomal RNA", at positions 460 to 992 of the family's 1831-position model. The record is from RNAcentral. Lineage: Eukaryota; Bigyra; Opalinata; Blastocystidae.
GGAGGUAGUUGACAAUAAAUCACAAUGCGGAACAAUGUUUUGCAAUUGGAUUGAGAACAACGUACAAACCUUAUCGAUAAACAAUUGGAGGGCAAGUCUGGUGCCAGCAGCCGCGGUAAUUCCAGCUCCAAUAGCGUAUAUUAACGUUGUUGCAGUUAAAAAGCUCGUAGUUGAAAUGAAGGGUAGUUGUGUAAUGAAUACAUUCGUGUAUUUUGUUAUUCUACUACCCUCCUUCUAAAUUCGAUAUAUGAGUAUUAAUUUACUUGUAUAUGGUUUUAGACGUUUACUGUGAGAAAAUUAGAGUGUUCAAAGCAGGCAUUUGCUUGAAUAUAUUAGCAUGGAAUAAUCAUGUAUGAUUUUCAUGAUGUAUUUGAUUGGUUUGGUUCAUGAGAAUAAGAUUAAAAGGGACAGUUGGGGGUAUUCAUAUUCAAUAGUCAGAGGUGAAAUUCUCGGAUUUAUGGAAGAUGAACAAGUGCGAAAGCAUUUACCAAGGAUGUUUUCAUUAAUCAAGAACGAAAGUUA